GUGCUCGCUCCAGCAGCACAUAUACUAAAAUUGGAAAGAUACAAAGAAGAUUAGCAUGGCCUCUGCACAAGGAUGACACGCAAAUUCGUGAAGCGUUCCAUCUUCUU
RNAcentral lists this small nuclear RNA (107 nucleotides) under Tursiops truncatus (common bottlenose dolphin). The record is from RNAcentral. Lineage: Eukaryota; Metazoa; Chordata; Mammalia; Artiodactyla; Delphinidae.